This 166-nucleotide small RNA is filed under the name uncultured Blautia sp. RNAcentral describes it as "Clostridiales-1 RNA". It matches the Rfam family "Clostridiales-1 RNA". The record is from RNAcentral. Lineage: Bacteria; Bacillati; Bacillota; Clostridia; Lachnospirales; Lachnospiraceae.
GAUACCAGGGUCAAAAGGUCUGCACACACAUGAGCUUGCUCAUGAGUGGGUGUAAAACCUUGGGACCCUCCCCGAUAUGAGCAUGAAAGUGGGAGGAAUAUCCCACGAUAUGCGAAUAUUAGGGAGGAUUGUGGAAGUGCGCAGCACCUAGCAAUCCGUAGGUAUC